RNAcentral lists this long non-coding RNA (677 nucleotides) under Fukomys damarensis (Damara mole-rat). Its description in RNAcentral is "lncRNA (ENSFDAG00000021938.1)". The record is from RNAcentral. Lineage: Eukaryota; Metazoa; Chordata; Mammalia; Rodentia; Bathyergidae.
UUCCAAAUCCAGUCAGCCCCCCCCCCCGGUCGGGAGUAACCCUAACCGAGAUCGGGUCCCCAGCGGAUCUGUGUCCUCGUGGCAGCUCAGGAAGGCUCCCUUCCCUGUCUCCGGGAACACCUACAUCUUUUCUCCGUCUCUUCUCUGCUUCUCUCCUGCCGCCCACCACCUCCUCGGCACUUUCUGGAGACCAGCUUUAUCUGGGCUGGCUGAAGCCGGUUUGCAUUACUUGCCACUUUUUUUUCUUUUUUUUUUUUUUUUAAGAAGACAGGAUCUCGCUGUGUAGUUCAAGCUGGACUUGACCUCUCAGCAGUCCUCCUGCCUCUGCCGACUUGCCACAAUUUUUCCAGAUGAGGCAAUUAAAUUUAACUUGGUGUCGUGAAUUAAAAGGGAGAUUCCGCAGUCACCACAAGCCCCAUACAUCUAAACCCGACCUUAUUACCAGGAACCCAACAGCCUUCUCUGUCUUGCUGCCCCUCCAAAUCUCAGAAAUGCUGGAGGAUGGAUCAGUUGGGAAUCACCACCAUCAAGCCAACCCGGGUCUGUAAGGAACAGAGCUCCGCAAAGUCCUCGGGAUGAUGAGAAUGGGGAAUCCGCGACAGAGGACAGGCGCAGGACCUGGGCGGGUCUAGCUAGCUGGGAGCUUCCACAAUAUGGCAGAAUGGAAGCACCUGACC